GUAUAUAUAUAUAUAUAUAUAUACAUAUCACCCCCAAAUCCAAACUGCCAAAUUAUAACUGAAUUACCAUCUCUCUCUCUCUCUCUAGAGGAUUAAUUGCUUAAGGCCUAGGGCAAUGGAAGCAAAUCAAAAGUUCCUCCAUGGAACACUUGAAGUUACAAUCUUUGAUGCAACACCUUAUACACCCCCAUUUCCCUUCAAUGUAAGUAUUUUUAUUUUCUUUUUUGAGUUUUUUUUUUUUUGGCUAAUUUUGAUUAAGGUAUAUAGCUUUUUUUUUUUUUUUACAAAAUUUAUUUUUAUUUCUUUAUAUUUCUUUGUAUUACAGAAUAUAGAAAACAACAAAAAAAUUCAAAAUCUAGCAUUUUCAAAGCCGUGCAAAUCACUGACUCUGUUCAUAUGCUUUCUCAUAAUCGCCACUUUAGCUAACCUCUCUGCGGCUCGCCACGCCGAUGUCGGGGUAAGAGGCUCUGGCUUCUCCUCCGCUUGCUGACUACUCUUCUGCUUCUGGCUCUGCACCAGUUGCUGCCUACGCCGAUGCAGCUCGCCAAGCUCUGCCUCUAAGCUGCGCAAAUGCUGGAUAGUCGAGCUGUCACUAGACUGCAUCACCAAAGCUCGAGCUGAGGAUAACAAAUGAUAAGCUCCAGAUAAAUCAUUAUGAUCCAUUAAUCGCCGAGAUUCAGCCACUGCUCUUAUUGUGAUGUGGAGGUCCCUCAGCCGUUGGAUAUGUGGCACUGAUGAUCGAACGGCUUGAGCUCGAGGUAUUAUCAGGGCUUUUUCCUUGGAUAAGACUGGCUCCUGUGACGAUGGGUCUCUAAACGAGGACCGUACGGAUAACAAGUGGUGGCCCUCGGUGGAAGAAGCCGGCACUUUCAAUUCUAUGAGUA
Molecule: unclassified non-coding RNA, 884 nt
Filed under: Hevea brasiliensis (rubber tree)
Lineage: Eukaryota; Viridiplantae; Streptophyta; Magnoliopsida; Malpighiales; Euphorbiaceae
Source: RNAcentral